AGUGAACGCUGGCGGUAGGCCUAACACAUGCAAGUCGAACGGCAGCACAGUAAGAGCUUGCUCUUACGGGUGGCGAGUGGCGGACGGGUGAGGAAUACAUCGGAAUCUACUUUUUCGUGGGGGAUAACGUAGGGAAACUUACGCUAAUACCGCAUACGACCUACGGGUGAAAGCAGGGGAUCUUCGGACCUUGCGCGAUUGAAUGAGCCGAUGUCGGAUUAGCUAGUUGGCGGGGUAAAGGCCCACCAAGGCGACGAUCCGUAGCUGGUCUGAGAGGAUGAUCAGCCACACUGGAACUGAGACACGGUCCAGACUCCUACGGUAGGAAGCAGUGGGGAAUAUUGGACAAUGGGCGCAAGCCUGAUCCAGCCAUACCGCGUGGGUGAAGAAGGCCUUCGGGUUGUAAAGCCCUUUUGUUGGGAAAGAAAAGCAGCAGGUUAAUACCCCGCUGUUCUGACGGUACCCAAAGAAUAAGCACCGGCUAACUUCGUG
Molecule: ribosomal RNA, 492 nt
Filed under: uncultured bacterium
Lineage: Bacteria
Description: partial 16S ribosomal RNA
Rfam family: Bacterial small subunit ribosomal RNA
Source: RNAcentral